This 73-nucleotide transfer RNA is filed under the name Gemmatimonas sp. SG8_17. RNAcentral describes it as "tRNA-Lys". It matches the Rfam family "tRNA". From Rfam's summary of the family: Transfer RNA (tRNA) molecules are approximately 80 nucleotides in length. Their secondary structure includes four short double-helical elements and three loops (D, anti-codon, and T loops). Lineage: Bacteria; Pseudomonadati; Gemmatimonadota; Gemmatimonadia; Gemmatimonadales; Gemmatimonadaceae. The record is from RNAcentral.
GACCGGGUAGCUCAGCUGGUAGAGCAACGGACUUUUAAUCCGUAGGUCGUGGGUUCGAAACCCACCCCGGUCA